RNAcentral lists this ribosomal RNA (208 nucleotides) under uncultured bacterium. Its description in RNAcentral is "partial 16S ribosomal RNA". It matches the Rfam family "Bacterial small subunit ribosomal RNA", at positions 568 to 774 of the family's 1533-position model. The record is from RNAcentral.
UGCGUAGGUGGCGAGGUAAGUCGGAUGUGAAAGCUCGGAGCUCAACUCCGAAAUGGCAUUGGAAACUACCUUGCUCGAGGGUUGGAGGGGGGACUGGAAUACUUGGUGUAGCAGUGAAAUGCGUAGAUAUCAAGUGGAACACCAGUGGCGAAGGCGAGUUCCUGGACAACUCCUGACACUGAGGCACGAAAGCUAGGGGAGGCAAACA